Molecule: ribosomal RNA, 551 nt
Filed under: uncultured bacterium
Lineage: Bacteria
Description: bacterial SSU rRNA
Rfam family: Bacterial small subunit ribosomal RNA
Source: RNAcentral
AAUAGAUACCCGGGUAGUCCACGCCGUAAACGAUGAGUGCUAAGUGUUAGGGGGUUUCCGCCCCUUAGUGCUGCAGCUAACGCAUUAAGCACUCCGCCUGGGGAGUACGGUCGCAAGACUGAAACUCAAAGGAAUUGACGGGGGCCCGCACAAGCGGUGGAGCAUGUGGUUUAAUUCGAAGCAACGCGAAGAACCUUACCAGGUCUUGACAUCCCAUUGACCACUAUGGAGACAUAGUUUUCCCUUCGGGGACAACGGUGACAGGUGGUGCAUGGUUGUCGUCAGCUCGUGUCGUGAGAUGUUGGGUUAAGUCCCGCAACGAGCGCAACCCUCGUUCUUAGUUGCCAUCAUUUAGUUGGGCACUCUAAGGAGACUGCCGGUGACAAACCGGAGGAAGGUGGGGAUGACGUCAAAUCAUCAUGCCCCUUAUGACCUGGGCUACACACGUGCUACAAUGGACGGUACAAACGGUUGCCAACCCGCGAGGGGAGCUAAUCCGAUAAAACCGUUCUCAGUUCGGAUUGUAGGCUGCAACUCGCCUACAUGAAGCC